CAUGCACCAAUGCUCUGACCUUACGGGAAGAGUGCAUUUAUUAGAACAAAACCAAGCGACCUUGGUCGUGUUUUGUUGACUCAGAAUAACUAAGCUGAUCGCAUAGGUUCAUCCUGGCGACGUGUCUUUCAAGUAUCUGCCUUAUCAACUUUCGAUGGUAGUGUAUCUGCCUACCAUGGUGGUGACGGGUAACGGAGGAUAAGGGUUUGACUCCGGAGAAGGGGCCUGAGAAAUGGCCACUACGUCUAAGGAUGGCAGCAGGCGCGCAAAUUACCCACUCUCAGAACGAGGAGGUAGUGACGAAAAAUAACGAGACCGUUCUCUACGAGGCCGGUCAUCGGAAUGGGUACAAUCUAAACCCUUUAACGAGUAUCUAUGAGAGGGCAAGUCUGGUGCCAGCAGCCGCGGUAAUUCCAGCUCUCAAAAUGCAUAGAAUUAUUGCUGCGGUUAAAAAGCUCGUAGUUGGAUCUGUGCUAGGGACUUGGUCCACCUUCGGGUGCGCACUGAGCUCCCCGGCUUUUGCUGCCGGUUUUCCCGUCAUGGCUUUCAUCGGCUGUGGCGGGUGGCUGGUGAUUUUACUUUGAACAAAUCAGAGUGCUUCAAACAGGCGUUUCGCUUGAAUGUUCGUGCAUGGAAUAAUAGAAGAGGAUUUCGGUUCUAUUUUAUUGGUUUUAUAGACUGAAAUAAUGGUUAACAGAGACAAACGGGGGCAUUCGUAUCGCUGCGUGAGAGGUGAAAUUCUUGGACCGCAGCGAGACGAACUACAGCGAAAGCA
Molecule: ribosomal RNA, 775 nt
Filed under: Nothotylenchus sp. RH-2018
Lineage: Eukaryota; Metazoa; Nematoda; Chromadorea; Rhabditida; Nothotylenchidae
Description: SSU rRNA
Rfam family: Eukaryotic small subunit ribosomal RNA
Source: RNAcentral